UGCCAGCAGCCGCGGUAAGACGGAGGGCUCUAACGUUGUUCGGAUUCACUGGGCAUAAAGCGCACGUAGGCGGUUUGCUCAGUCGGAUGUGAAAGCCCCCGGCUCAACCGGGGAACUGCAUCCGAUACUGGCAGGCUAGAGGACGGCAGGGGUAAGUGGAACUCCAGGUGGAACGGUGAAAUGUGUAGAUAUCUGGAGGAACACCGGUGGCGAAAGCGGCUUACUGGGCCGUCUCUGACGCGAGUUGCGUUAGCUAGGGUAGCGAACGGGAUUAGACC
This 278-nucleotide ribosomal RNA is filed under the name uncultured bacterium. RNAcentral describes it as "partial 16S ribosomal RNA". It matches the Rfam family "Bacterial small subunit ribosomal RNA", at positions 506 to 784 of the family's 1533-position model. The record is from RNAcentral.